GGAACAAUGGACAGGAGAGGAUUGCUGGUGUUGCCUUACGGAUUUCAUUCUGGGAAAGAAGUAAUAUUUGAAGCAGUGAAGGGAGGAGUGCUAUGAGGAGCUGGAGCCAGACGUACCACGCCAGGAGCUGCAAGGUCUCUGCUUUACUACCACGGCCCUCCUGCUUUGCCCAUCCUCUCUGUCCCUAGGAGGUCACCAUCACCUCCAGUGAGCUUUGCUCUGCUCUCUGGCUGCUGUGUCUUCUGUAGAUCCUGUGCCCCAAUGACAUUUGUGACCUGCCAGAAAAAUAUAUCUCUUUCCCCGAGUGUUGUGGAAGUGUUUACAUGAUAAACUGUCGGUCUGUGUGGAGCUGAAGGGAAAAGGCCAGAGUGCCCUUCCUACUGUUGGCAGGAGGAUGACCAGCAGCAAGUGCCUGGCAGUCACUAAUUGACUCAUUAGAGGUCUCUGUGGGUGUGCUCACAGGAGAGUAGGCACGUCUGUACCGCCUCCUCUGAUGAGAAGCAUGGAUGUCAGGAUGGCAGUAUGGACAGGACUGCGGUCCCAGUUGGUGUGGGACAGCCCAGGCAUCACUGGCUGUGGGGUGCUUCAACAGCUCAGACAGGCUUUGAGUCGAUGAGAGCUGGGGGAAACAUGCCAGGUCAGGACAUUCCUGCAGUGAUCCUGCAGGAACCACAGUGCUUCAUCUGCCAGCAGGACAAGGUGAUGCUGAGCUGUGCUGAGCUGCCCUAGGCCAGCCCAUUCCAGUGCAGCAGGUUGCCACGUUCCCUGUGCCUUGCUUACAGAAAUCUUAAUUUAUGCUAUUAGAAAUAGUAAGAACAAAGAGUUUGAGCACAGUUUACAUUUUGCUUGAGCACUGCAGUGGGUCUCAGCUAAUUCAUCAGCAGUGGUUCGUUCUGCUCGAAAUCCUAGGGAAUGGCUCCUCUCCCGGGGCAUUUCUUCC
This 940-nucleotide long non-coding RNA is filed under the name Gallus gallus (chicken). Its description in RNAcentral is "long non-coding RNA NONGGAT009240". Lineage: Eukaryota; Metazoa; Chordata; Aves; Galliformes; Phasianidae. The record is from RNAcentral.